RNAcentral lists this small RNA (77 nucleotides) under Reinekea blandensis MED297. RNAcentral describes it as "Pseudomonas sRNA P9". It matches the Rfam family "Pseudomonas sRNA P9". From Rfam's summary of the family: P9 appears to be conserved in several Pseudomonas species in addition to Bordetella spp. In both Pseudomonas and Bordetella spp P9 appears to be located upstream of a predicted threonine dehydratase gene. The record is from Rfam by way of RNAcentral. Lineage: Bacteria; Pseudomonadati; Pseudomonadota; Gammaproteobacteria; Oceanospirillales; Saccharospirillaceae.
AACAUUAUGAUCAUCAUUCCAUAGUGAAUGGUGGGUCAGCGUUUAUUUGUCCAAAACCCGCCAAACCGGCGGGUUUU